CCAUGUGAGUAAGAAGGGAAGCGGCUGACUCGAGAGACGACCAUGUGAGUAAGAAGGAACUCGUCGUUGGCUGGCUGAUGGUCCGGUGAGUAAGAAGGGAAGCGGCUGCGAGCACGCCACCGGUGUUGGGUCGAUGGUGUCGUGCCUCGGCGGCCGGGGUGAGGCAGAGUAGAUGGGAAGCAGCGGCUCCCCUAUCCCCCGAGCUCCAGAUCCAUGGCGGCAGCAGCAGCAAGGUUUUCCUCUGGAAUAUGGAUAAUUUUAACAUGGAUACUAAACCAGAAGAACAUACGAACUUUGUAACGGACAUAAGAUUCAGACCGAAUUCGACUCAGUUGGCUACAUCAUCUUCUGAUGGAACUGUUCAACUAUGGAACGUUGUUGAAGCAUUUUCUUCUACUUUCUCAAUAUGUGUUUCUCAUUAGUAAUUGUGAAUUUCCUUAUUUGCUGCAAGUUCUGGCUUUUUUUUGGGUGCAUUUCACUGCCUACUAUUGACACUGGAAUGUAAACUUUUGCUCUUUGAUUGUGGCAAGAGAUCAUUGCAAACUUGAGUUACUCUCCUAUGCAUGUUACUGGACCUUUGGAUGAGAUGUGGAUGGAUCAGAUUUAGAAAGAUAAUAGGAGGCACAUAGAUAACCUGUUGACCCGUGAGUUGGCUAUUCCAUUCAUGUGUCUCAUGUCUUUCUAGAUCUUAGUAAGCUAUUACAUGUUUACACCCAAAAUCCCAAAUAUUUGCACUGCAUAUUUCACUUAUAUAUGGGCAUACGUAAGUGACAGUCUUGUAAAUAAGAUGAUGCUCUCCUAUCUUUUAGUGUAAAAGGGGAACACAUUUACCUCUUUUUUUAUCAAGUGUCCAGCUUUUGGAGCUCCACAGAAAACUGAUGUCUUAAAUGUAAAGAGCCGAACUGAAGAUCUAAGCCUUAUUGUACAUUUAGUUCCAAUAUUUUAUUGUUCAAUGUAAUCUGAAAUAAUAUUGUAUCAGGCCAUCGUUUGUAGUGGCUGUCCAGUAACCAAAUUGCAAGUCAAGUACUUUUGAUGAUUAUGGAGUCUAAUGGGUUAAAGCUGACCGAAAGCUAAAAUUGUCUCUUCUUUGGGCAUACAAAAAUUGUUGAUGGAUUUAGUUUGAUUUGUUUAUUACUGUGUGACCCAAUAACUCUGUUCUUUUGUUGUCUGUCUUUUUUUGAUACACAUGAUUGUUGAUUGGACACAAACAGGUUUAGUCAGAUUGAGCUUGAACAUGCAGGUUUAGCAUACAGUUGGUUGAUAUAAUUGUAGGAAACCAAACUUGAAGCAUCAAUUCGCUAAUCAUGUGCGCAUAUAGUUUUAUAUUGACUUAUGUUUCACUUCACCAUGUUAGUAUUAACUGCCUGAUACCUAAAUCCAUCGUUUUGCAGUGAACCGGCGCAUUACAAACAUUUCUUGGGCAUUCCUCCCAUGUGACAUCAGUAGAUUUCCACCCGAAAUUAACAUAGAUUCUAUGCUCGUGUGACAACAAUGGAGAGCUCCGGUUCUGGACAGUUGGUUAAAUUGGAGCUUCAAUACCCCCUCCUACUUCCUCUAGUACGACGUCAGUGUUGGUCCGCUAACCGUCUUGCCCGUUGCCUAAGAAGAGGACUCCCGGGAAGCAUGACGCCGAUGCGACGGGAAAGGACAAGGCGGGGAAGGAUAAGACAUCUGGAUGAGAAGAAAAAGAAGCGCAAGACUGGCAAGGUCGAGACUCAUCUUGAAUUCCCUGGACGUGAAAAGGUCAAAUUUGGUUUAAGUUGUUGAAGCUCCACCAAAGCUAUCAUUCCCAAAGGUCCCUUCUCUUCUCACAUCCUUGUAUGUUAUUAGAUUUGGUUGGGUUCGUAUGAAAGGUUGUAUGAACUUUUGAAGGACGCCCCAUAUACUUCAGUGCUUGUAUGUUUCUCUUAGAUUCUUAUAUGGUCUGAUCUCUUCCCAUAGGAAUUUGACUGUUGGCAUUUGUUGUUACCAAAUAGAUCAAUUUUCAACCAUUUAGAAAUGAGAACUUGACUUCUUGUAAUUGCCAAUUUGGUGUACAUGAUUUGACAAUGAAAAAUAAUGUUAUAUGAUGAAUGAAUGAUGUUUUUAGCAGCCAAAUUGACGUUUCACAUUGGGCUCUCUUAUUCUUACAGCACACUGUUGCUGGGUUUUUUAUGGCUGGAGUAUAGGCAAUGUU
Molecule: long non-coding RNA, 2176 nt
Organism: Triticum aestivum (bread wheat)
Lineage: Eukaryota; Viridiplantae; Streptophyta; Magnoliopsida; Poales; Poaceae
Exons: 3
Source: RefSeq, a predicted model, not a curated record